RNAcentral lists this ribosomal RNA (253 nucleotides) under uncultured bacterium. RNAcentral's name for it is "partial 16S ribosomal RNA". It matches the Rfam family "Bacterial small subunit ribosomal RNA", at positions 524 to 776 of the family's 1533-position model. The record is from RNAcentral.
UACGUAGGGUGCAAGCGUUAAUCGGAAUUACUGGGCGUAAAGUGUGCGCAGGCGGCUUUGCAAGACAGAUGUGAAAUCCCCGGGCUUAACCUGGGAACUGCAUUUGUGACUGCAUGGCUGGAGUGCGGCAGAGGGGGAUGGAAUUCCGCGUGUAGCAGUGAAAUGCGUAGAUAUGCGGAGGAACACCGAUGGCGAAGGCAAUCCCCUGGGCCUGCACUGACGCUCAUGCACGAAAGCGUGGGGAGCAAACAGG